Molecule: ribosomal RNA, 800 nt
Filed under: Arthrobacter sp. 3CAS4
Lineage: Bacteria; Bacillati; Actinomycetota; Actinomycetes; Micrococcales; Micrococcaceae
Description: bacterial SSU rRNA
Rfam family: Bacterial small subunit ribosomal RNA
Source: RNAcentral
ACAUGCAAGUCGAACGAUGAACUGGUGCUUGCACUGGGGAUUAGUGGCGAACGGGUGAGUAACACGUGAGUAACCUGCCCUUGACUCUGGGAUAAGCCUGGGAAACUGGGUCUAAUACCGGAUAUGACCUUCCAUCGCAUGGUGGUUGGUGGAAAGCUUUUGUGGUUUUGGAUGGACUCGCGGCCUAUCAGCUUGUUGGUGGGGUAAUGGCCUACCAAGGCGACGACGGGUAGCCGGCCUGAGAGGGUGACCGGCCACACUGGGACUGAGACACGGCCCAGACUCCUACGGGAGGCAGCAGUGGGGAAUAUUGCACAAUGGGCGGAAGCCUGAUGCAGCGACGCCGCGUGAGGGAUGACGGCCUUCGGGUUGUAAACCUCUUUCAGUAGGGAAGAAGCGAAAGUGACGGUACCUGCAGAAGAAGCGCCGGCUAACUACGUGCCAGCAGCCGCGGUAAUACGUAGGGCGCAAGCGUUAUCCGGAAUUAUUGGGCGUAAAGAGCUCGUAGGCGGUUUGUCGCGUCUGCCGUGAAAGUCCGGGGCUCAACUCCGGAUCUGCGGUGGGUACGGGCAGACUAGAGUGAUGUAGGGGAGACUGGAAUUCCUGGUGUAGCGGUGAAAUGCGCAGAUAUCAGGAGGAACACCGAUGGCGAAGGCAGGUCUCUGGGCAUUAACUGACGCUGAGGAGCGAAAGCAUGGGGAGCGAACAGGAUUAGAUACCCUGGUAGUCCAUGCCGUAAACGUUGGGCACUAGGUGUGGGGGACAUUCCACGUUUUCCGCGCCGUAGCUAACGCAUUAAG